CGCGGUAAUACGUAGGGUGCGAGCGUUAAUCGGAAUUACUGGGCGUAAAGCGUGCGCAGGCGGCUUUAUAAGCCAGAUGUGAAAUCCCCGGGCUUAACCUGGGAACUGCAUUUGGAACUGUAAGGCUAGAGUGUAGCAGAGGGGGGUAGAAUUCCACGUGUAGCAGUGAAAUGCGUAGAUAUGUGGAGGAAUACCGAUGGCGAAGGCAGCCCCCUGGGCUAACACUGACGCUCAUGCACGAAAGCGUGGGGAGCAAACAGGAUUAGAUACCCUGGUAGUCCACGCCCUAAACGAUGUCAACUAGGUGUUGGGGAAGGAGACUUCUUUAGUACCGCAGCUAACGCGUGAAGUUGACCGCCUGGGGAGUACGGUCGCAAGAUUAAAACUCAAAGGAAUUGACGGGGACCCGCACAAGCGGUGGAUUAUGUGGAUUAAUUCGAUGUAACGCGAAAAACCUUACCUACCCUUGACAUGCCAGGAACUUUCCAGAGAUGGAUUGGUGCCCGAAAGGGAACCUGGACACAGGUGCUGCAUGGCUGUCGUCAGCUCGUGUCGUGAGAUGUUGGGUUAAGUCCCGCAACGAGCGCAACCCUUAUCAUUAAUUGCCAUCAUUCAGUUGGGCACUUUAAUGAGACUGCCGGUGAUAAACCGGAGGAAGGUGGGGAUGACGUCAAGUCCUCAUGGCCCUUAUGGGUAGGGCUUCACACGUAAUACAAUGGUCGGUACAGAGGGUUGCCAACCCGCGAGGGGGAGCCAAUCCCAGAAAGCCGAUCGUAGUCCGGAUUGUAGUCUGCAACUCGACUACGUGAAGUCGGAAUCGCUAGUAAUCGCGGAUCAGCAUGUCGCGGUGAAUACGUUCCCGGGUCUUGUACACACCGCCCGCCACACCAUGGGAGUGGAAUCUGGCAGAAGU
RNAcentral lists this ribosomal RNA (913 nucleotides) under uncultured bacterium. Its description in RNAcentral is "bacterial SSU rRNA". It matches the Rfam family "Bacterial small subunit ribosomal RNA", at positions 516 to 1427 of the family's 1533-position model. The record is from RNAcentral.